Rosa rugosa (rugosa rose) is the source of this 104-nucleotide small nucleolar RNA. NCBI's taxonomy places the organism in Eukaryota, Viridiplantae, Streptophyta, Magnoliopsida, Rosales, Rosaceae. The record is from RefSeq and is a predicted model, not a curated record.
ACUUUGUAUGUGUACCUGCUGUAAAUAUAGACAAACAGCUAUAUGUAAGCUUUAGGUGCGCAAUCGGCUAGAUUAGAUUGCCCAUAAAGGACUUGCCCACAGUU